CGUCUAUAUACGUAUAGCAUAUCAAUAAGCGGAGGAAAAGAAACUAACUAGGAUUCCCUCAGUAACGGCGAGUGAAGCGGGAAGAGCUCAAAUUUGAAAUCUUCAAGGUUCUACCUUGACGAAUUGUAGUUUAAAGAAGUGUUUUCUGUUGGAGUUUUGGUAAAAGUUCUUUGGAAUAGGACAUCAUAGAGGGUGAGAAUCCCGUAUUUGACCAUUAUUUCCAACUUUGUGAUACACUUUCAAAGAGUCGGAUUGUUUGGGAAUGCAGUCCAAAAUGGGUGGUAAAUUUCAUCUAAAGCUAAAUACUGGCGAGAGACCGAUAGCGAACAAGUACCGUGAGGGAAAGAUGAAAAGAACUUUGAAAAGAGAGUUAAACAGUACGUGAAAUUGUCAAAAGGGAAGCGUUUGACACCAGUGUUGUUUUCUCGAAAAUCAAUUAAAAAUGGCGGGAUUUUGUGUUGUAUUGACUUUAUCAGCUUUCUGCACUUUUUUCCUGUCUUUUUUAAUGCACUUUUCGUUUAACAAGUCAACAUCAAUUUCUUUUGUUGUAAAAGAGUCAUUGGAAGGUGGCUUUCUUUUCGGAGAAAGUGUUUAUAGCCUUUGGCCUCUGCAAUCGGAGAGAUUGAGGUCUGCAGCGUAGAUCCCUUCGGGGUUAGAUACAUUUGUGCUAAGCUAUAGCCUUUCAUAGACAACUUGUUGACUAUGAUCAGUCAUGUAGCUUACUCGCUUAUGCUAUUUUACCUACGCUUAGGAUGUUGACGAUCAGCUGAGCGCG
RNAcentral lists this ribosomal RNA (775 nucleotides) under uncultured Neocallimastigales. RNAcentral's name for it is "partial large subunit ribosomal RNA". It matches the Rfam family "Eukaryotic large subunit ribosomal RNA", at positions 26 to 627 of the family's 3401-position model. Lineage: Eukaryota; Fungi; Neocallimastigomycota; Neocallimastigomycetes; Neocallimastigales. The record is from RNAcentral.